This 528-nucleotide ribosomal RNA is filed under the name uncultured Actinomycetes bacterium. RNAcentral's name for it is "bacterial SSU rRNA". It matches the Rfam family "Bacterial small subunit ribosomal RNA", at positions 8 to 522 of the family's 1533-position model. Lineage: Bacteria; Bacillati; Actinomycetota; Actinomycetes. The record is from RNAcentral.
AGAGUUUGAUCCUGGCUCAGGACGAACGCUGGCGGCGUGCCUAACACAUGCAAGUGGAGCGACGGACCAGGGCUUGCCCUGGGGCCAAGCCGCGAACGGGUGAGUAACACGUGGGUAACCUGCCCCGAUGACCGGGACAACCCGAGGAAACUCGGGCUAAUACCGGAUGUGCUCGCAGCACUCAAGUGCGGCGAGCAAAGGAAGCUUCGGCCUCCGCUUCGGGAGGGGCCCGCGGCCCAUUAGCUUGUUGGUGAGGUAACGGCUCACCAAGGCUGCGAUGGGUAGCUGGUCUGAGAGGACGAUCAGCCACACUGGGACUGAGACACGGCCCAGACUCCUACGGGAGGCAGCAGUGGGGAAUCUUGCGCAAUGCGCGAAAGCGUGACGCAGCAACGCCGCGUGGGGGAAGAAGGCCUUCGGGUUGUAAACCCCUUUCAGGAGGGACGAAGGUGCGGCGGCGAACAGCCGACCGUACUGACGGUACCUCCAGAAGAAGCCCCGGCUAACUACGUGCCAGCAGCCGCGGUA